GGGGGCGUACUGGUUUCGACGGGGAUGUUGAAGCAUGAGUAGCGAGUAGUGGACCAGGGCCACUAUAAAACUUGGAAAAUUAAAGAUAAACGCUGAAGAUAAUUUAGCUUUCGCGGCCUAAUAAGGCCGUCGUUCAACCUAGGAUCACCGCGGCCUAGGAUUGGGCGUCGAUUAGCGGUGAACGUGACAUAGCUAAGCUUUGCGCUAUGCAUGACUAAUGAAGCUACUAAAGCUGUAAGCUUGUGGGCAGGCGUGCAGUGGAGGGAAUGUUAAAACACCCAAUGCACUCGGAGAAGCUUAUGUGAAUGCGUUUUCGGACAGGGGUUCAAUUCCCCUCGCCUCCACCA
RNAcentral lists this transfer-messenger RNA (347 nucleotides) under Petroclostridium sp. X23. It matches the Rfam family "transfer-messenger RNA". Rfam says of the family: Bacterial tmRNA, also known as 10Sa RNA or SsrA, is named for its dual tRNA and mRNA-like properties. Its role is to liberate the mRNA from a stalled ribosome. Lineage: Bacteria; Bacillati; Bacillota; Clostridia; Eubacteriales; Oscillospiraceae. The record is from RNAcentral.